AAAAGUUUUGAAUUUAAUGUUUGAACUCUUGAAUCUUUUUAAAUCUACACCCAUGGAUUUGUGUUAUCCCACGCACAGCAACGACCGACACCACAAAUAGAUAAUCUUUAUGUUUCUCAAUUCAUCCGUAACGGAAUCAGUGGCAUCUGUGAAGGUUUUACCACUCACUUUGUUCAGAAAUCGAUUGAUGAAGUAUGGUUAUUAUCAGUGAUGCCAACGAUGAUGCCGUCACAGAUGAAUUGAGACGCAUAAGGUAUAUUAUAACACAAACAAGGAAAUAAAAGUUAGAUAAUACAAUUCAAAGG
Non-coding RNA from Cinara cedri, 305 nucleotides. Lineage: Eukaryota; Metazoa; Arthropoda; Insecta; Hemiptera; Aphididae. The record is from the annotation of a GenBank genome assembly.